RNAcentral lists this ribosomal RNA (483 nucleotides) under uncultured bacterium. Its description in RNAcentral is "partial 16S ribosomal RNA". It matches the Rfam family "Bacterial small subunit ribosomal RNA", at positions 30 to 507 of the family's 1533-position model. The record is from RNAcentral.
AUUGAACGCUGGCGGCAGGCCUAACACAUGCAAGUCGAGCGGAUGAAGGGAGCUUGCUCCUGGAUUCAGCGGCGGACGGGUGAGUAAUGCCUAGGAAUCUGCCUGGUAGUGGGGGAAACGUCCGGAAACGGGCGCUAAUACCGCAUACGUCCUGAGGGAGAAAGUGGGGGAUCUUCGGACCUCACGCUAUCAGAUGAGCCUAGGUCGGAUUAGCUAGUUGGUGGGGUAAAGGCCUACCAAGGCGACGAUCCGUAACUGGUCUGAGAGGAUGAUCAGUCACACUGGAACUGAGACACGGUCCAGACUCCUACGGGAGGCAGCAGUGGGGAAUAUUGGACAAUGGGCGGAAGCCUGAUCCAGCCAUGCCGCGUGUGUGAAGAAGGUCUUCGGAUUGUAAAGCACUUUAAGUUGGGAGGAAGGGCAGUAAGUUAAUACCUUGCUGUUUUGACGUUACCAACAGAAUAAGCACCGGCUAACUUCGUG